GAAAGAAACGAUCUCCGAGCCUCCGCGUCUAACGGUCCGACGACCCAUGACGCUCAGGCCGGUCAGGGUGCGCGUGGAAACGCGCGCGCCUCCCGUGUUUGGAAAGGAGAUAUCAUGACGACGCC
Molecule: non-coding RNA, 125 nt
Filed under: Verrucomicrobiota bacterium
Lineage: Bacteria; Pseudomonadati; Verrucomicrobiota
Description: Verrucomicrobia bacterium MoCo sequence
Rfam family: Molybdenum/Tungsten riboswitch aptamer (Moco RNA motif)
Source: RNAcentral